GGCUAGUUGUAUUAUUAGGUUAAUGCAAGAUCGACUACGUCGACUAAAGUUCUAGGUAGAAUAAUGAUGAUGACAAUUUUUUACCUAUAUGUCUUGACCAAGUCUCGUGCCAGCAGUCGCGGUAAUACGUGGAAGACUAGUGUUAUUCAUCUUUAUUAGGUUUAAAGGGUACCUAGACGGUAUUUCUAGCCCAAAAUAGGGUACGGAUUUACUAGAGUUUUAUGUGAGGAGGGGAGUACUCGUGGAGUAGAGAUGAAAUUUUGUUAUACUAUGAGGUAACUGGUGGCGGCGAAAGCAACCUUCUAUGUAUAAACUGACGUUGAGGGACGAAGGCUUGGGUAGCAAAUAGGAUUAGAUACCCUAGUAGUCCAAGCAGACAAUUCUGAAUGCCAUAGAUUAGAUUUUUUUUGAUCUAUAAAUGAAAGUGUAAGCAUUCCACCUUAGGAGUAAUGUGGCAACACAGGAACUGAAAUCAUUAGACCGUUUCUGAAACCAGUAGUGAAGUAUGUUAUUUAAUUUGAUGGUCCACAAAAAACCUUACCACAACUUGAAUAUUUUGUAAUUAAUACAAGCGUUGCACGGCUGUCUUCAGUUAAUGUCGUGAGAUUUUGGUUAACUCCAUUAAUUAACGUAAACCCUUACUUUAUUUAU
Molecule: ribosomal RNA, 651 nt
Filed under: Acarospora sp.
Lineage: Eukaryota; Fungi; Ascomycota; Lecanoromycetes; Acarosporales; Acarosporaceae
Description: SSU rRNA
Rfam family: Bacterial small subunit ribosomal RNA
Source: RNAcentral